GCCUUCGUGGUGUAAUGGUCAGCACACUCGACGCGUGUUCGAGGUCUGAGGUUCGAGUCCCGGCGAGGGCA
RNAcentral lists this transfer RNA (71 nucleotides) under Stegodyphus mimosarum. It matches the Rfam family "tRNA". Rfam says of the family: Transfer RNA (tRNA) molecules are approximately 80 nucleotides in length. Their secondary structure includes four short double-helical elements and three loops (D, anti-codon, and T loops). Lineage: Eukaryota; Metazoa; Arthropoda; Arachnida; Araneae; Eresidae. The record is from Rfam by way of RNAcentral.